This is a long non-coding RNA of Scleropages formosus (Asian bonytongue), 393 nucleotides long. RefSeq lists it as uncharacterized. The record is from RefSeq and is a predicted model, not a curated record. The transcript has 3 exons. NCBI's taxonomy places the organism in Eukaryota, Metazoa, Chordata, Actinopteri, Osteoglossiformes, Osteoglossidae.
CUGAGACUGGGGAGUCGAGAGGCUGCUGACAAGGCAGGGUAUUAAUGGGACCCCACGUGGCUAAUGAUAUCUUGAACACCCCCCGCAUACUCCUGUUCCGUGCCACCCCCUCCUGACCACCCUCGAUGGAAACGGAACCCGUUUCAAAUUCAGAUGUUUACCGCGAUGGCGCAUCACCACUCCCUCGCCGUCCCGCUGUCUCUCUCCGGUGCCGAGGUCACGCCCCAUGAAGUCCAUUUCUCUCAUUCCGGCUCCUUCGGGGGCACCGGGUGCGAGCGGGCCGACAGCUUGUUUACGACCGGGAGCCGUCCUCAUUCAAUGAAAAACAUGCACGUCGUAAACAGGCACACAAUACGAGAACGCUGAUGAACGGAGAUUAUAAUAAACCUCACA